AUUAAAUACACUUUUUCAGGUGCCGUUUAUCGGAGAAUAGGGAAUCGGGUGUAAUCCCCGAACGGGCCCGCCACUGUAAUGAACAGUGACUGUCACACGCCACUUCACAUUCCAAUGUAGAGGGAAGGCGGCAGUCACGCAAGAAAGCAACCGCGUUGCGUUAACUGCGUAAGCAGUUAUUAAGCCGCGAAAGAAAGUUUCCUUUAAAGCAUAAUACCAACGAUUCAAGGGAUUAUGAACAGUCUAACUUUCUUGAGCUGAAUGUCUAAGUCAGGAGACCUGCCUGGAGAAUCAGAAUAUU
Molecule: non-coding RNA, 301 nt
Filed under: Dethiosulfatibacter aminovorans
Lineage: Bacteria; Bacillati; Bacillota; Tissierellia
Also listed under: 1 other name
Source: RNAcentral